GCAGCCGCCGCGGGAAUACAGAGGGUGCGAGCGUUAAUCGGAUUUACUGGGCGUAAAGCGUGCGUAGGCGGCUUUUUAAGUCGGAUGUGAAAUCCAUGAGCUUAACUUAGGAAUUGCAUUCGAUACUGGGAAGCUAGAGUAUGGGAGAGGAUGGUAGAAUUCCAGGUGUAGCGGUGAAAUGCGUAGAGAUCUGGAGGAAUACCGAUGGCGAAGGCAGCCAUCUGGCCUAAUACUGACGCUGAGGUACGAAAGCAUGGGGAGCAAACAGGAUUAGAUACCCCGGUAGUCCCUGUCUCUUAUAU
Molecule: ribosomal RNA, 302 nt
Filed under: uncultured bacterium
Lineage: Bacteria
Description: partial 16S ribosomal RNA
Rfam family: Bacterial small subunit ribosomal RNA
Source: RNAcentral